CCCUCACCCAGCUGCUGCGGCGGAGAGACGGAGGCCAGCGCGGGGAGCGGAAGCCGGAGCCUGUCGGGAGCGACCCCGGGAAGGCCAGUCCCUCCUGCCGGAGGGAGGCGUGUUGGCGUGCGGCCGGUGGCGGGAUCGAUGGCCACCUGGUAGGCGAUGCUGCUGCGGCGGAGAGACGGAGGCCAGCGCGGGGAGCGGAAGCCGGAGCCUGUCGGGAGCGACCCGGGAAGGCCAGUCCCUCCUGCCGGGGAGGCGUGUUGGCGUGCGGCCGGUGGCGGGAUCGAUGGCCAC
RNAcentral lists this long non-coding RNA (291 nucleotides) under Sus scrofa (pig). RNAcentral's name for it is "lncRNA (ENSSSCG00070006275.1)". Lineage: Eukaryota; Metazoa; Chordata; Mammalia; Artiodactyla; Suidae. The record is from RNAcentral.